AUGGACCCGGUCUCACUGCCGAACUUCAAGCAUGGAGUGCGGCGCUUUAGCGACAUCUUCGCUGUGGACGUCCACCCAGACGACGUGGAGAAGAAAAUGAAGAUAAACGUGAAGUUGAAGUUGAAGAACAAGACGGAGAAGGAAAAGUUGAUGGGAUUCCGCUUCCGCCGGGUCACGCACAGCAGGUACGAGUGCGGGACGCCCGCCUGGACGAUGGCCUUCGCCGCGACGGACACAAACGCGCUGUGGAACAUGUUGCCAGACAUGGAGCAUAUGUACGCACUGGGUGUCUGUACUAGAUCCGCAAGCCCUUGA
This 315-nucleotide ribosomal RNA is filed under the name Triticum aestivum (bread wheat). Its description in RNAcentral is "partial small subunit ribosomal RNA". Lineage: Eukaryota; Viridiplantae; Streptophyta; Magnoliopsida; Poales; Poaceae. The record is from RNAcentral.